This 638-nucleotide ribosomal RNA is filed under the name uncultured marine eukaryote. RNAcentral describes it as "SSU rRNA". It matches the Rfam family "Eukaryotic small subunit ribosomal RNA", at positions 615 to 1254 of the family's 1831-position model. The record is from RNAcentral.
UGAGUUAAAAAGCUCGUAGUUGGAUCUCGGCGGACUGAGGGCGGUUUGCUUGCUAGUAUUACUGCCCUAUAGUCCGUAGUUUUGCCAGAGGUUUCGGGGUGCUCUUAAUCGAGUGUCCCGGGAUGCUGGCAGGGUUACUUUGAAAAAAUUAGAGUGCUCAAAGCAGGCUAUUACGCCUGAAUAUUCGUGCAUGGAAUAAUAGAAUAGGAAGUCGUUUCUAUUUUGUUGGUUUUCGGAAAUCGACUUAAUGAUUAAUAGGGACAGUCGGGGGCAUUUGUAUUCAAACGACAGAGGUGAAAUUCUUGGACCGUUUGAAGACAAACUACUGCGAAAGCAUUUGCCAAGAAUGUUUUCAUUAAUCAAGAACGAAAGUUAAAGGUUCGAAGGCGAUUAGAUACCGCCCUAGUUUUAACCAUAAACGAUGCCAGCUAGCGAUCUGCGGACGUUUUUUUUGUAGACUCCGCAGGAAGCUUCCGGGAAACCAAAGCAUUUGGGUUCCAGGGGAAGUAUGGUUGCAAAGCUGAGACUUAAAGGAAUUGACGGAAGGGCACCACCAGGAGUGGAGCCUGUGGCUUAAUUUGACUCAACACGGGAAAUCUCACCAGGCCCGGACACUGGAAGGAUUGACAGAUUGAUAG